RNAcentral lists this transfer RNA (87 nucleotides) under Candidatus Kaiserbacteria bacterium RIFCSPHIGHO2_12_45_16. RNAcentral describes it as "tRNA-Leu". It matches the Rfam family "tRNA". From Rfam's summary of the family: Transfer RNA (tRNA) molecules are approximately 80 nucleotides in length. Their secondary structure includes four short double-helical elements and three loops (D, anti-codon, and T loops). The record is from RNAcentral. Lineage: Bacteria; Candidatus Kaiseribacteriota. RNAcentral also lists the same sequence under 2 other names.
GCCGGGGUGGCGAAAUCGGUAGACGCGCAACACUUAAAAUGUUGUAGGCGAAAGCCUAUAUGGGUUCAAGUCCCAUUCUCGGCACAA